AUACGUAUGGGGCAAGCGUUAUCCGGAAUUAUUGGGCGUAAAGAGUGCGUAGGUGGUUACCUAAGCGCAAGGUUUAAUCUUGAGGCUCAACCUCAUUCUGCCUUGCGAACUGGGCUACUUGAGUGCAGGAGGGGAAAGCGGAAUUCCCAGUGUAGCGGUGAAAUGCGUAGAUAUUGGGAAGAACACCGGUGGCGAAGGCGGCUUUCUGGACUGUAACUGACACUGAGGCACGAAAGCGUGGGGAGCAAACAGGAUUAGAUACCCUGGUAGUCCACGCCGUAAACGAUGAGCACUAGUUGUUGGGUACGAAUGUAUUCAGUGACGCAGUUAACGCAAUAAGUGCUCCGCCUGGGGAGUACGGUGGCAACACUAAAACUCAAAGGAAUUGACGGGG
Molecule: ribosomal RNA, 394 nt
Filed under: uncultured bacterium
Lineage: Bacteria
Description: partial 16S ribosomal RNA
Rfam family: Bacterial small subunit ribosomal RNA
Source: RNAcentral